GUUUGUUGCGAUCAAGCAUCCUAUAUGCUGGCUCUUCCAUGCAAGCCCAUGCUUCCCCAAAAUGUCAGAUACGUGAGGAGAGUGAAGGAGGUGUAACCCGCCGUGAGACAGGUCAGCUUUAACCUGCUGGUGAAU
RNAcentral lists this ribosomal RNA (135 nucleotides) under Scrippsiella trochoidea. RNAcentral's name for it is "partial Eukaryotic large subunit ribosomal RNA". The record is from RNAcentral. Lineage: Eukaryota; Dinophyceae; Peridiniales; Peridiniaceae.